CACCAUCAUAUCUCCACUACCACCAUCAUCUCCGCCAUCACUAUCAUCACCAUCAUAGCCACCACUAUCAUCUUUACUAUCACUUUUACUAUCAUUUUUUCUAUCAUAACCAUUACUACUAUCAUCAUAUUGUCUCUACAAAUGUUGUUUCUAUUAAUAUGCUAUUCUUACCACUUCUAUCAUACCAUUAUGCUAAUAUGGCCUCUAUGA
RNAcentral lists this long non-coding RNA (210 nucleotides) under Elaeis guineensis (African oil palm). RNAcentral's name for it is "long non-coding RNA (EGUI_LNC014366)". The record is from RNAcentral. Lineage: Eukaryota; Viridiplantae; Streptophyta; Magnoliopsida; Arecales; Arecaceae.